RNAcentral lists this ribosomal RNA (95 nucleotides) under Xanthocytophaga flava. RNAcentral describes it as "partial 23S ribosomal RNA". It matches the Rfam family "Bacterial large subunit ribosomal RNA", at positions 2830 to 2925 of the family's 2925-position model. Lineage: Bacteria; Pseudomonadati; Bacteroidota; Cytophagia; Cytophagales; Rhodocytophagaceae. The record is from RNAcentral.
UAGGACCGUUGGAGAUGACAACGUAGAUAGGCGAUAGGUAUACGCAUAGCAAUAUGUUCAGCCAAGUCGUACUAAUGAUCCGAAGACUUCCGUUU